GAUGAACGCUGGCGGCGUGCCUAAUACAUGCCAGUCGAGCGAACGGACGAGAAGCUUGCUUCUCUGAUGUUAGCGGCGGACGGGUGAGUAACACGUGGAUAACCUACCUAUAAGACUGGGAUAACUUCGGGAAACCGGAGCUAAUACCGGAUAAUAUUUUGAACCGCAUGGUUCAAAAGUGAAAGACGGUCUUGCUGUCACUUAUAGAUGGAUCCGCGCUGCAUUAGCUAGUUGGUAAGGUAACGGCUUACCAAGGCAACGAUGCAUAGCCGACCUGAGAGGGUGAUCGGCCACACUGGAACUGAGACACGGUCCAGACUCCUACGGGAGGCAGCAGUAGGGAAUCUUCCGCAAUGGGCGAAAGCCUGACGGAGCAACGCCGCGUGAGUGAUGAAGGUCUUCGGAUCGUAAAACCCUGUUAUUAGGGAAGAACAUAUGUGUAAGUAACUGUGCACAUCUUGACGGUACCUAAUCAGAAAGCCACGGCUAACUACGUG
This 497-nucleotide ribosomal RNA is filed under the name uncultured bacterium. Its description in RNAcentral is "partial 16S ribosomal RNA". It matches the Rfam family "Bacterial small subunit ribosomal RNA", at positions 28 to 507 of the family's 1533-position model. The record is from RNAcentral.